This 253-nucleotide ribosomal RNA is filed under the name uncultured bacterium. RNAcentral's name for it is "partial 16S ribosomal RNA". It matches the Rfam family "Bacterial small subunit ribosomal RNA", at positions 524 to 776 of the family's 1533-position model. The record is from RNAcentral.
UACAGAGGGUGCAAGCGUUAAUCGGAAUUACUGGGCGUAAAGCGUGCGUAGACGGUUGCGUAAGUCAGAUGUGAAAGCCCCGGGCUCAACCUGGGAAUUGCAUUUGAGACUGCGUAGCUAGGGUGCGGAAGAGGGAAGCGGAAUUUCCGGUGUAGCGGUGAAAUGCGUAGAUAUCGGAAGGAACACCAGUGGCGAAAGCGGCUUCCUGGUCCAGCACCGACGUUCAGGCACAAAAGCGUGGGGAGCAAACAGG